Molecule: ribosomal RNA, 366 nt
Filed under: Ixodes lividus
Lineage: Eukaryota; Metazoa; Arthropoda; Arachnida; Ixodida; Ixodidae
Description: partial 16S ribosomal RNA
Rfam family: Bacterial large subunit ribosomal RNA (bases 231-366)
Source: RNAcentral
GGUAUAACAAUUAUAAGCUUUCUUUGGUUAAAAAAUUAAAUUUAAUUUUUUUGUGAAGAAGCAAAAAUAUAAAUUAGGGACAAGAAGACCCUAUGAAUUUUGAAUUAAAUAUAAUAACUUAAUUAAAUUAUUAUAUUUAAAUUAAUUGGGGUGAUUUGGAAAGAGUAUAUAUCUUUUUAGUUAGUUAAAUUGUUCCGUUUUUAACGAUUUUAUGAAUAAAAUACUCUAGGGAUAACAGCGUAAUAAUUUUGGAUAGUUCAUAUAGAUAAAAUAGUUUGCGACCUCGAUGUUGGAUUAGGAUUCUUUUUUGAUGAAGAAAUUAAAGAAAAGAAGUUUGUUCAACUUUUAAAUUCCUACUUGAUCUGA